GACAGCAGCCGCCGCGGGAAUACGUAGGGUGCAAGCGUUAAUCGGAAUUACUGGGCGUAAAGCGUGCGCAGGCGGUUAUAUAAGACAGAUGUGAAAUCCCCGGGCUCAACCUGGGAACUGCAUUUGUGACUGUAUAGCUAGAGUACGGCAGAGGGGGAUGGAAUUCCGCGUGUAGCAGUGAAAUGCGUAGAUAUGCGGAGGAACACCGAUGGCGAAGGCAAUCCCCUGGGCCUGUACUGACGCUCAUGCACGAAAGCGUGGGGAGCAAACAGGAUUAGAUACCCCUGUAGUCCCUGUCUCUUAUAC
RNAcentral lists this ribosomal RNA (306 nucleotides) under uncultured bacterium. RNAcentral describes it as "partial 16S ribosomal RNA". It matches the Rfam family "Bacterial small subunit ribosomal RNA", at positions 507 to 807 of the family's 1533-position model. The record is from RNAcentral.